GGGCUGGGCAGACACAAAAGAAGUCCACCACAUCCUACUAAGUAUAAAGUGCUGAAUUACGGCUGUACAACCCUGGUUCCUUUAAGUGCUCCUCACGUGAACAUUUUAGAGUUCAAGCCAUAUCAGAACUAAGAAGAGACUGUUAAGUUUAGCAGUUAUUGGUUCAGUGGUGACUUUCCAUAAGAGGUGUGUUUGAAUCACAGCGGACCUCCUGUUGGAGAGGUAGUAUGGAGGAAAAGGAAGAGGAUGAGGAAGAGGAGGGCUGCACUUGGGGGUCGGACGACCCCGCUUUGAAUCUUUGCUCCACAGUAAAUCUCCUACAUAUGAACCUUCAAGUUGCGAAUUUUCAAAGAUGAGAACACAUGUUCCGUCAGUGUCAGGCGUGAGGGAAAUGGCAACUUGCCCUUCCUCUCCUAUUGCCGCUGAUCCUUCAACGCUACCAUCUCUCACCUCCUCUCCCUCCUCUGGUCGGUAACUCUUCUUCUCUGUUCAUUCAAUGUCAGCCCCUGUAUGCAAGCUGUUGUACUG
Molecule: long non-coding RNA, 528 nt
Organism: Bos taurus (domestic cattle)
Lineage: Eukaryota; Metazoa; Chordata; Mammalia; Artiodactyla; Bovidae
Source: Ensembl